This 253-nucleotide ribosomal RNA is filed under the name uncultured bacterium. RNAcentral's name for it is "partial 16S ribosomal RNA". It matches the Rfam family "Bacterial small subunit ribosomal RNA", at positions 524 to 776 of the family's 1533-position model. The record is from RNAcentral.
UACGGAGGGUGCAAGCAUUGAUCGGAAUUACUGGGCGUAAAGGGCGCGUAGGCGGUUGGAAAAGUCAGAUGUGAAAUUCCGGGGCUCAACCUCGGAGCUGCAUUUGAAACUUUCCAGCUAGAGUUCAGUUAGGGAAAACGGAAUUCCACAUGUAGCGGUGAAAUGCGUAGAUAUGUGGAGGAACACCGGUGGUGAAGACGGUUUUCUGGGCUGAUACUGACGCUGAGGCGCGAAAGCAAGGGGAGCAAACAGG